RNAcentral lists this ribosomal RNA (484 nucleotides) under uncultured bacterium. RNAcentral describes it as "partial 16S ribosomal RNA". It matches the Rfam family "Bacterial small subunit ribosomal RNA", at positions 30 to 507 of the family's 1533-position model. The record is from RNAcentral.
AUUGAACGCUGGCGGCAGGCCUAACACAUGCGAGUCGAGCGGAUGAAGGGAGCUUGCUCCUGGAUUCAGCGGCGGACGGGUGAGUAAUGCCUAGGAAUCUGCCUGGUAGUGGGGGAUAACGUCCGGAAACGGGCGCUAAUACCGCAUACGUCCUGAGGGAGAAAGUGGGGGAUCUUCGGACCUCACGCUAUCAGAUGAGCCUAGGUCGGAUUAGCUAGUUGGUGGGGUAAAGGCCUACCAAGGCGACGAUCCGUAACUGGUCUGAGAGGAUGAUCAGUCACACUGGAACUGAGACACGGUCCAGACUCCUACGGGAGGCAGCAGUGGGGAAUAUUGGACAAUGGGCGAAAGCCUGAUCCAGCCAUGCCGCGUGUGUGAAGAAGGUCUUCGGAUUGUAAAGCACUUUAAGUUGGGAGGAAGGGCAGUAAGUAAAUACCUUGCUGUUUUGACGUUACCAACAGAAUAAGCACCGGCUAACUUCGUG